Molecule: ribosomal RNA, 402 nt
Filed under: uncultured bacterium
Lineage: Bacteria
Description: bacterial SSU rRNA
Rfam family: Bacterial small subunit ribosomal RNA
Source: RNAcentral
GGGCCCGCACAAGCGGCGGAGCAUGUGGUUUAAUUCGAUGAUACGCGAGGAACCUUACCAGGGCUUAAAUGGGAAAUGACAGGGGCAGAGACGCCCCCUUCUUCGGACAUUUUUCAAGGUGCUGCAUGGUUGUCGUCAGCUCGUGCCGUGAGGUGUCAGGUUAAGUCCUAUAACGAGCGCAACCCCUACCGUUAGUUGCCAGCGUGUAAUGACGGGGACUCUAACGGAACUGCCGGUGCAAACCGUGAGGAAGGUGGGGACGACGUCAAAUCAUCACGGCCCUUACGUCCUGGGCCACACACGUGCUACAAUGGUAGGUACAGAGGGAAGCCACCCCGCGAGGGGGAGCGGAUCUACAAAACCUAUCUCAGUUCGGAUCGGGGUCUGCAACUCGACCCCAUG